GACGAACGCUGGCGGCGUGCUUAACACAUGCAAGUCGAACGGAAAGGCCCUGCUUUUGUGGGGUGCUCGAGUGGCGAACGGGUGAGUAACACGUGAGUAACCUGCCCUUGACUUUGGGAUAACUUAAGGAAACUGGGGCUAAUACCGGAUAGGAGCUCCUGCUGCAUGGUGGGGGUUGGAACGUUUCGGCGGUUGGGGAUGGACUCGCGGCUUAUCAGCUUGUUGGUGGGGUAGUGGCUUACCAAGGCUUUGACGGGUAGCCGGCCUGAGAGGGUGACCGGCCACAUUGGUACUAAGAUACGGACCAGACUCCUACGGGAGGCAGCAGUGGGGAAUAUUGCACAAUGGGCGGAAGCCUGAUGCAGCAACGCCGCGUGCGGGAUGACGUCCUUCGGGUUGCAAACCGCUUUCGCCUGUGACGAAGCGUGAGUGACGGUAAUGGGUAAAGAAGCACCGGCUAACUACGUG
Molecule: ribosomal RNA, 468 nt
Filed under: uncultured bacterium
Lineage: Bacteria
Description: partial 16S ribosomal RNA
Rfam family: Bacterial small subunit ribosomal RNA
Source: RNAcentral